Molecule: long non-coding RNA, 3655 nt
Filed under: Glycine max (soybean)
Lineage: Eukaryota; Viridiplantae; Streptophyta; Magnoliopsida; Fabales; Fabaceae
Description: long non-coding RNA (GMAX_LNC000588)
Source: RNAcentral
UUCUUCCUUCAGCAUGGGGCUUGGUAAUUGUCACGGCUGGGUUUGGAGGUGAAAUCAAAUGUUAUCAAAAUUUCGGGUUGCCUAAAAGGAUGGGUAGGCAACCCCAUCUUUUUGGAGGCCAUAACAGUUCUUCUCAUGGCAACACCUAGAAGAUUUUCUUUUUCUCUUUAUUCAAAUUUAAAUGUAGGAUUGACACAUGAUGAAAUUCUCAAUUUUUCUUGAUUAUUUUUUUGGUCUUAAACUCUCUGGUUCAUAAGGGGAAAUGAACCCUAACUAAUCCGAAAUUUGGUCAUGAGAUAAGUAAAACCUGACUAAGAAUUGUCGAUCAACCUUAACUUUAACACAUUAAACACUUAUACCCAAUUACUUGAGAUUGUAGCAUUUAGUGGCAAUGUUGAUACAUGUAUACCUCUGCAUGGCAAUAACUUCACAUUGUUGUAAACUAUAAAGUUAGUGACAAAACCGUUGUAGAUGUAUACAAGAAAUGAAAAUUACAUUCAAAUUUUUUUAGACCAGAGACGAAAAAGUGAAAACUAAAAAUUCCAGACAUCAAACAUUUUGUUCAGUUCUCGUGAAUUUGUAUCUCAAACAGAAUUUGUACAUGUAGCUCAAUGUGUGCUUGAUAUCCUUAUAUUGUUGUAUAGUAAGUGAGCGACAGAAAAGUUAAUACAAAAAUAAGUAUACAACAAUGGAAGUGAUGUUGAAAGUUGACAUACAAAGGGGGUAGGAUUGAAGAUUGGAUAAAUUACAAAGUACUGUUUCUUGUACUUUCUACCAACAAUAGGGUGUGGAUACUCAGAAUCUGCCUAAAUUCAUUUGGUCCUACUUCUACCACAUCAAUCCAAGUAUCUAUUCCCUACAACUUUCUCGACUUGAUGAUAACUAGUUUAAUUUAUUCAAAUCUACUUGCCUAUAAAAUUGUUUUCUUCUUUUUCUUUUCAUUUCACAUCCCUUGAAAUGAACAAUGUUUUUAGCGGAAAGGAAUUCUUGUGAAGUAGCAUGUCUCUAUAUUGUACACUUAUAAAGGAAAUGGAAAAAAAAGGGAGCGUAGCUGUUGUCACUUCCUGUUUAAUUUAUCUCAACUUGUAUAGAUGGAAGAAAAUUUCCAAAUAAGUUUCCUUAUUGAUUAUGGACUCUAUCUGCCGGGUAUAGUCUAAAAUUUUCACUAAAAUCCGUCUCAGAUGUGACUGCUUGAUAGGAGCUAUCUUAGUUUGGCAACAAGAUUAUUUGGUUGAGACUUGAGAGAGUUACAUCUGACCAAUGGUCUUUUCAAUCCUCCUGUUCCUUUUCACCAACUCUAAUGCGACCUUUCAGGUAUUAUUUGCAAGCACAACAGUUUUUUGUUUUUUGUUUUACUAUACUAUUGGUAUGAAGUAAUUCUCGUUAGAAAUAAUGACUAAUUUUCAUCACAGACCAUGAGCACAUACAAGGUGAGUAUUCUCCUCUCAACAAGAUUUAUUUCAUAUUCAAGGAUCAACCAAAAUUAAACCCUAAAUCAUUUGCUUAAGGGAUACAAAUUGCUACCACUUAUGCUAAUCAUUGUUGAUUCAUGCACAACAGUUUUAAACAUGUUCUGAACGGGAAUUUCAGCUAUGAUAAUAAGAGGAAUAAAGUUUAGUGGUUGUUUGACUUUCAAAGGAAAUUGAAUUUCUUCGACACCACUCUAAAGUAGUUCUAACAACUGAUCUCAUGAAAACACAGAAAAUAUAGAUUUCAGUUUCUAGUUGAAUCAGACAAUGUAGCAACACCUAAUCAAACAAACCAACAAUGUUCUUUCAUCCCUCUAUAUAUAGCUUACAACUUAGCCAAUUGAAUACACAAAACAGAACAAACGCAACAGUUUCAUUAUCGAACAUCUCAUAGAAUUUCUAAUUUGUCUAUCCAUUAGCAUGUUUUCAGCAAAAGAGAAAAAUGGGCGUUGACCAUCUUUCUUCUCUUAUAUCUCAACCAUUCUUUCUUUUCUCAUUGAAUAUAUUUUGUCUUCAUCAACUUGCACUAGCUGGCACUAUCAGGCACUAUCAUUUUGAUGUACUUACUCUUUUAAGAGAAUCAGUUCCUCUAUUCUCUUGCAAUUUCAUCAAAACCAUAUUCACAUCACAGACAUAAAUAUAAAUAGAUUGCAUUCUACACUUACUCUCUUCUACCCCCUUUUUUUUAUCUAAGGUACUGGGUUACAGAUGCAGAUAAAGUACCAAAAUGAGACUAAUGACUAAUGAGAAUCACAUAACAUUGACUUAUAACAUACCAUGGUACAAAGUACUAAUCUUAAGUUGAUACGUCACUACUAAUUACUAUUUUCAGGAUAAUGAUGGAAUUCUGAUAACACAAGCCUUCCAAAUGUCUCUGAUUCCUACACUAUUGAUGUACUACCAGGGUCAUUCUUAUAACAUGUUACCUAAAAAUGCCACACACCAGUUGUGUGGAUAAAAUUGUGGAGAAAGAACUUAAACUCACCAGUACUUUAAGAAACAAGCAUAGAUGACUCGAAUUUUUAAUAAGAGAAGUGCUAGUAAUACAUUUUCUAAUACACUUUCAACUUAUCUGUUGAAAAAAUUGUGUUGCUAGUGUUUCUCUUUUAAACGAAAUUAACACUUCUUUUAUCUGCAAGUUUUGUCUUAAUCAAACAGAAACUAUAUCAACUAAAACGAGAUAUUUCUAAAUUUAAUAUAGAAGAUUGGACUAUGGCAGAUACAUUCAAGCUUGGGAAGAGAUACCUUCUCUGUUUGAUCAAUGUUGCACUCAAUGAUGAACUCUUAUUCAGCAUUGCAAAUCACAGCCCUCAGUCGUUGAAGCAGAUCCCAUUUAUGCCAAACCAUUUGAGACCAACACUAUUCUUAUAGCUCCUGGACAAACCACUAAUGUUCUUCUCAGAACCAUAUCUCAUAACCCAAUGCAACAUUCUUUAUGGCUGCUAGGCCAUAUGUGACAACUCCACUGUUACCGGUAUCUUGGAAUAUGAAAUUCCGUCACGCUUUCUUCACAAAACAACUUCCAUGAACAACCUUUCACUCUUUAAGCCUUAAUGACCUCCCUGCUCUUAAUGACACUUCAUUUGCAAUUGCAACAACCUUCACCCACAAGCUCCAUAGCCUUGCAACUUCACAGUUUCCUUGUAAUGUCCCCCAAAAAGUUAAUAAGCACUUUUUCUUCACCGUUGGUCUUGGAACGAGUCUCUGUCGAUCCGCAUAAUCAAACUUGCCAGGGACCUAAUGGAGCCAUGUGUCUAUCACACUCCCAACCACAACACUUCUUCAAGCCCAUUUUUUUGGGAAAUCCAAUGGAAUUUACUCACUUGAUUUUCCAAUUAACCCUUUAAUGUCAUUCGACUACACAGGCACCCCACCAAACAACACCAUGGUGACCAAUGGGACAAAGUUGGAGGUUCUUCCUUUCAACACAAGUGUAGAGCUUGUUAUGCAGGACACCAACAUUCUUGGUGCCGAAAGUCACCCUCUCAAUUUGCAUGGGUUCAACUUCUCUAUGGGUUGGCUAAGGUUUUGGUAACAUCGAUCCAUAUAAGGAUCCUGCAAACUUCAAUCUUGUUGGCCCAAUUGAAAGGAACACAGUGGGAAGUACCUUCUUGUGGCUGGGUCGCCAUUCGUUUCUUAGCAGAUAACCUAGGUUAGUGUCCCUUGUUUCUUGCUUUGCACAAAAC